This 627-nucleotide ribosomal RNA is filed under the name uncultured Wolbachia sp. RNAcentral's name for it is "bacterial SSU rRNA". It matches the Rfam family "Bacterial small subunit ribosomal RNA", at positions 94 to 756 of the family's 1533-position model. Lineage: Bacteria; Pseudomonadati; Pseudomonadota; Alphaproteobacteria; Rickettsiales; Anaplasmataceae. The record is from RNAcentral.
AGUGGCAGACGGGUGAGUAAUGUAUAGGAAUCUACCUAGUAGUACGGAAUAAUUGUUGGAAACGGCAACUAAUACCGUAUACGCCCUACGGGGGAAAGAUUUAUCGCUAUUAGAUGAGCCUAUAUUAGAUUAGCUAGUUGGUAAGGUAAUGGCUUACCAAGGCAAUGAUCUAUAGCUGAUCUGAGAGGAUGAUCAGCCACACUGGAACUGAGAUACGGUCCAGACUCCUACGGGAGGCAGCAGUGGGGAAUAUUGGACAAUGGGCGAAAGCCUGAUCCAGCCAUGCCGCAUGAGUGAAGAAGGCCUUUGGGUUGUAAAGCUCUUUCGGUGAGGAAGAUAAUGACGGUACUCACAGAAGAAGUCCUGGCUAACUCCGUGCCAGCAGCCGCGGUAAUACGGAGAGGGCUAGCGUUAUUCGGAAUUAUUGGGCGUAAAGAGCGCGUAGGCUGGUUAGUAAGUUAAAAGUGAAAUCCCAAAGCUCAACUUUGGAAUUGCUUUUAAAACUGCUAACCUAGAGAUUGAAAGAGGAUAGAGGAAUUCCUAGUGUAGAGGUGAAAUUCGUAAAUAUUAGGAGGAACACCAGUGGCGAANGCGUCUAUCUGGUUCAAAUCUGACGCUGANGCGCNA